GCCGCNCCCCACCCAGAUCCUGUCUCCGGCCGGCCAGCCUGGGGGACAGAGGCGGCGGCCAGGGCCCGGGGAAGCCAGGUGUGCGGGCGGGAGGGCCGGCCGAGCAGCGACAGAGGCGGAGCCGCCCCGCCCGACCGCGCACCGCAGCGGCGCGGGGCCCGCGGCCCGAAGCCCUUCCGGCCCGAGCUGCGCAGCGCCGCCGCCGCCUCGGAGGCCUGCAGGAUGGUCUGGCGCUCCUCGGGCGCGGAGUCCGCAGACAAGGGAUGCGCCUGCAGGACGUGCGGCUGGAUGGCCCUGACCUUGAGCGUGGCCAGCGCGGCUCCGCGCACCGUGCCCACCGGGCCGCGCCCGCUGCAUCCUUAGUGCGUCAGGGACUGCUGACAUUCAGGGACGUGGCCAUAGAAUUCUCCCAGGAGGAGUGGCGAUGCCUGAGCCACACGCAGCGGGAACUGUACAGGGACGUGAUGCUGGAGAACUACGGACACCUCCUGUUCUUGGGUCUCAUUGCAUCAAAGCCAGACCUAGUCUCCUGUUUAGAGCAAAAGAAGGAGCCUUGGGAUCUGAAGAGAAAGAAGACAGUAGCCAUCCACCCAGCCACAUCUUCACAUGACAUCCAGAGCUUCAUGCCAAAGCCGAGCAUAGAAGCUUCUUUCCAAAAAGUGUCAAUGGGUAGACACAAAAAUAGUGACGUUGAGGAUUUACACUUAAUGAUAGACCGGGACAAUGAUGGGAAGAGUGAAGGGUAUCAAAGAUGUCAUGAAGGACAUAUCCAAACUCAGACAACUGCCCAUAAUAAGAAUCUCACUGUCCCAAAUGGUGAAGGACAUAAAACAUUUUGGAAAACCUCCCUUUUUAAGUCAGCUGUUUCCAAAAACCAGUGUGAUUCUGCAAGUAAAAUCUCAAAGCAAAUAUGCAAACAUAAAUAUUUAGGGAAAGACAAUCUGGAAAAUCUAGAGAGUUACCUAGUCCGUGCUGAAAAUAAUUAUUUGAACCAUUCCGAAAAAAGGGUUGGAUUGACUGUUCAGUCAAAUAUUUCCGAAAAUCAGAGAUUUAAAACUGAAGAACAAAGUGCUAAGAGGGCUCCACUGGAGAGGUGCUUCACCAAGGAGUUGACCCCACAGAGUGACCAGAGUAUUUUCAAUGGUGACAGAAUUGCUCAAUGCACUGAAUCUGAGGAAACACUUAACCAAAGCUCAAAUGUUAAUAAACAUCGGAGGGCUCAUUUUCCAGGAAACCAUUAUGAAUGUGAUAAAUGUGGGGAAGUCUUUUAUCAAAACUCUAACCUUAUUACAAAUAAGAGUAUGAAUAUGGGAGAGAAUCCUUACCAUGAAUGUGUGAAUGCUCUUAACCAGUCCUCCAAUGUCGGUGAUCAUCAGAGAAUUCGUGUGGGGAAAAACCCAUUUGGAUGUAAAAAACCUGGGAACAUGUUUAGUCAGUCAUCAAGACUGAAUAUACCUAAGACAAUCCAUACUGGAGAGAAAAGUUACAUUUUUAAGGAAUGUGGCAAAGACUUUGACUGGCACUCAUCACUACCUCCACAGCAGGGGGUUCAUACUGGAGAGAAACUGUACAGGUGUGAAGAAUGCGGUAAAACCUUUAAGGUCUGCUCAUCAAUAAAUAGACAUAGGCGAAUUCAUACUGGAGAGAAACCUUACAAAUGUGAAGAAUGUGGCAAGGCCUUUAACCAGCAGUCAAGCCUUACCGAACAUCACCGAAUUCAUAAUGGAGAGAAACCUUACAAAUGUGAAGAAUGUGGCAAGGCCUUUACCCAGCGCUCACACCUUAUUAGUCAUCACAGAAUCCAUACUGGAGAGAAACCUUACAAAUGUAAAGAAUGUGGCAAGGCCUUUAACCACCACUCAGGCCUUACUCAACAUCAGAGAAUCCAUACUGGAGAGAAACCGUAUAAAUGUAAAGAAUGUGGCAAGGCCUUCAACCAUGACUCAAGCCUCACUCAGCAUCACAGAAUUCACACUGGCGAGAAACCCUACAAAUGUAAAGACUGUGGGAAGGCCUUUAGCCAGCGCUCACACCUUAUUAGUCAUCACAGAAUUCAUAUUAGAGAUAAACCUUACAAAUGUAAAGAAUGUGGCAAGGCUUUUAGCCAGCACUCACACCUUAUUCGACAUCAUAGAAUUCAUACUGGAGAGAAACCCUACAAAUGUGAAGAAUGUGGUAAGGCCUUUAAUAGGCUUUCAUAUCUUACUCAACAUCACAUAAUUCAUACGGGAGAGAAACCUUACCAAUGUAAAGAAUGUGGCAAAGCCUUCAACCAGCACUCAAGCCUUUUUCACCAUAACAGAAUCCAUACUGGAGAGAAACCUUAUGUAUGUAAAGAAUGUGGCAAGUCCUUUAAACAUGACUCUACGCUUACUCAGCAUCACAGAAUUCAUACUGGAGAGAAACCUUACAAAUGUAAAGAAUGUAGCAAGGCCUUUAUCCAGCACUCACAACUUAUUAGUCAUCAGAGAAUUCAUACUGGAGAGAAACCUUACAAAUGUAAAGAAUGUGGCAAGGCCUUUAACCACAACUCAAGCCUUACUUACCAUCACAGAAUUCAUACUGGAGAGAAACCUUAUAAAUGUAAAGAAUGUGGCAAAGCCUUCAGCCAGCACUCAAAGCUUACUCGACAUCACAGAGUUCAUACUGGAGAGAAACCUUAUAAAUGUAAAGCAUGUGGCAAAGCCUUUAAACAGCACUCACACCUUACUAGUCAUCACAGAAUUCAUACUAGAGAGAAACCUUAACAAAUGUGGAGAAUGUGGCAAGGCCUUUAACCGGCACUCAAGACUUACUCAACGUCACAGAAUUCAUACUGGAGAGAAACCUUACCAGUGUAAAGAAUGUGAGAAGGCCUUUAAUCACUCUUCAACCUUUACUCAUUAUC
Molecule: non-coding RNA, 2887 nt
Organism: Ailuropoda melanoleuca (giant panda)
Lineage: Eukaryota; Metazoa; Chordata; Mammalia; Carnivora; Ursidae
Source: RefSeq, a predicted model, not a curated record